UACGAGGGGGGCAAGCGUUGUUCGGAAUUAUUGGGCGUAAAGGGCGCGUAGGCGGUGCGGUAAGUCCCCUGUGAAAACUCUGGGCUCAACUCAGAGCCUGCAGGCGAAACUGCCGUGCUUGAGUGUGGGAGAGGUGCGUGGAAUUCCCGGUGUAGUGGUGGAAUGCGUAGAUAUCGGGAGGAACACCAGUGGCGAAGGCGGUUGCCUGGAGCUUUGCUGACGCUGAGGCGCGAAAGCGUGGGGAGCGAUCCGG
Molecule: ribosomal RNA, 253 nt
Filed under: uncultured bacterium
Lineage: Bacteria
Description: partial 16S ribosomal RNA
Rfam family: Bacterial small subunit ribosomal RNA
Source: RNAcentral